RNAcentral lists this transfer RNA (88 nucleotides) under Comamonadaceae bacterium OS-1. RNAcentral's name for it is "tRNA-dihydrouridine synthase B". The record is from RNAcentral. Lineage: Bacteria; Pseudomonadati; Pseudomonadota; Betaproteobacteria; Burkholderiales; Comamonadaceae.
UCUGGUCCAGGUGGUUGACCGCCUGGUUGACCUGGGCAAUGCCGUCGCGCUGCUCGGUGGAGGCGGCGCUGAUCUCGCCGAUCAGGUC